This 69-nucleotide transfer RNA is filed under the name Ovis aries (sheep). It matches the Rfam family "tRNA". Rfam says of the family: Transfer RNA (tRNA) molecules are approximately 80 nucleotides in length. Their secondary structure includes four short double-helical elements and three loops (D, anti-codon, and T loops). The record is from Rfam by way of RNAcentral. Lineage: Eukaryota; Metazoa; Chordata; Mammalia; Artiodactyla; Bovidae.
UCUGGUGGCUUAGUUGGUAAAGAAUCUGCCUGCAAUGCAGGAGACCUGGGUUCAAUCCCUGGGUCAGAA